Molecule: ribosomal RNA, 494 nt
Filed under: uncultured bacterium
Lineage: Bacteria
Description: partial 16S ribosomal RNA
Rfam family: Bacterial small subunit ribosomal RNA
Source: RNAcentral
GACGAACGCUGGCGGCGCGCUUAACACAUGCAAGUCGAACGGAAAGGCCUGCUUUCCCUUGUGGAUUGCGGGUACUCGAGUGGCGAACGGGUGAGUAACACGUGAGUGAUCUGCCCCCAACUUGGGUAUAAGCCUGGGAAACUGGGUCUAAUUCCCGAUAGGACUGCAGGGUGGUGCCUGUGGUGGAAAACGAUUUUCUAGUGGUUGGGGCUGAGCUCGCGGCCUAUCAGCUUGUUGGUGGGGUAAUGGCCUACCAAGGCGGCGACGGGUAGCCGGCCUGGGAGGGUGGACGGCCACAUUGGGACUGAGAUACGGCCCAGACUCCUACGGGAGGCAGCAGUGGGGAAUAUUGCGCAAUGGGCGGAAGCCUGAUGCAGCGACGCCGCGUGGGGGAUGACGGCCUUCGGGUUGUAAACUCCUUUCGACCGCGAGGAAGCCACCUGGUUGGAAGGGUGGUGACGGUAGUGGUAGAAGAAGCACCGGCUAACUACGUG